AUUGAACGCUGGCGGCAUGCCUUACACAUGCAAGUCGAACGGUAACGCGGGGCAACCUGGCGACGAGUGGCGAACGGGUGAGUAAUGCAUCGGAACGUGCCCGGUAGUGGGGGAUAACUGCUCGAAAGAGCAGCUAAUACCGCAUACGACCUGAGGGUGAAAGGGGGGGAUCGCAAGACCUCUCGCUAUCGGAGCGGCCGAUGUCGGAUUAGCUAGUUGGUGGGGUAAAGGCCUACCAAGGCGACGAUCCGUAGCUGGUCUGAGAGGACGACCAGCCACACUGGGACAGAGACACGGCCCAGACUCCUACGGGAGGCAGCAGUGGGGAAUUUUGGACAAUGGACGCAAGUCUGAUUCAGCCAUGCCGCGUGCGGGAAGAAGGCCUUCGGGUUGUAAACCGCUUUUGUCAGGGAAGAAAUCUUCUGAGUUAAUACCUCGGGAGGAUGACGGUACCUGAAGAAUAAGCACCGGCUAACUACGUGCCAGCAGCCGCCGUAA
Molecule: ribosomal RNA, 498 nt
Filed under: uncultured bacterium
Lineage: Bacteria
Description: partial 16S ribosomal RNA
Rfam family: Bacterial small subunit ribosomal RNA
Source: RNAcentral